UUUUUUUUUUUUUUGGUCUUCGUAGGGCCACACCCCCAGCAUAUGGAGGAUGCCAGAUCCUUAACCCAGUGAGCAAGGCCAGGGAUUGAACCUAUGUCCUCAUGGAUACCAGUUGGGUUCAUUAAUGCUGAGCCACAAUGGGAACUCCCCAUAAUAGUUUCUACCUCUUCAUCCUCUACCCCUAUUCUGCCCCUCCCCCAAGACCCUCUACCCACUGGUAACGACUGGUUGGUUCUCUUUACCCAUUAGUCUGAUUGGAUUUGACUAGAAAGCUCAUUGGUGCAGAUAGGAAGAAUGUACUAACAGAGAGGGCCAGUGAAGAGGUUGGUCCAGAUUAGGGCCCACGCUGGGGGGUGGCAGUAGGAAUGGGGAGGAUUGCUCUGGUUGACUAACCUCUACUCACAUUUUAAGGCUCAGCACAGACAGCAGCUCAAUGGACCUUCAGUCUUAGGAGCUCUUCCUCUGGCGCCCUGAAACCCUUCUCCCAUAGCCAUAAGCACGGGCAGAGUUUGGUGGUGGUUAACAGCAAUAGUUUAGCUGGCUUUAAAGCUUUUUAAGCCAUUGCUUCUUGCCUGAACUGCUGACUAGUUGUGUGACCUUAGGCCAAUUGCUUAUUUGCUCUGUUGCCUAGGUUACCUUAUCUAUGAAGUAAAGAUAAUAAUAGUACCUAUCCUUUAGGGUUAUUGUGAUGAUUAAACGACUUAAUGAGUUUAAAGCACUUACACAGUGUCUAGCUGUGAUUAAGUGUGCAAUAAAAGUGGGUUUUAUUACCAUCACACCACUCUGCUGCAGGGGAAUCGCGUGUUUACGGUUCUGUCUGACCAAUCUGGAAGCUUCUUGGGGAUAGGUCUCCUUGGGAGCUCCCGUCAUGGCUCAGUGGUUAAUGAAUCUGACUAGGAACCAUGAGGUUGCGGGUUUGAUCCUUGGCCUCGCUCAUUGGGUUAAGGAUCUCGCGUGGCUGUGGCACAGGCUGGCAGCUACAGCUUGGAUUCAACCCCUAACCUGGGAACCUCCAUAUGCCGUGGGUGCGGCCCUAGAGAAAGACAAAAAAAAAAAAGACAAAAGAUCCAUUUAGGAAUUAAAUCAUGAAUCCUUGGGGGACUAACUGGACAUGAAGGAGAGGGUUCAUGAGGAGAAUAAAAUCAUUCCCAGGUUCUGGGACAGGAGGGUGAUGGGGAUGCCAUGGCUGAGACAGGGAGUUUGGGAGAAGGAGUUGGUUCAGAGGAUAAGUGGCUAAUCUGUCCAAGAUCAAAUCUAUAGGAACUAAUGAAGCUGAGCUUGGAACCCAGGUCUGUUCACAUUCCAUAGACAGUUUAUAUAACCUGCAUGUCUACACCUGGCACGGUACCUAACACAGUGGGUGUUUAAUAAUAUAUACCAGAUGAGCUUGUGAAUGCUUGAAUGAAUGGAUUUCUUUGGUAGAUGCCAGGGUAUCAGGGUUGCUUUUAUUUUAUGGCCAAACAGAGGUCUGUAGAGGUGGAGGGGGUGGGGCGGAAGAAAAACAGAAAGAAGAAAAGAAAGUCACCAUGAAAGAUUAAUGAAGGAAAAACUGGUCACCACUAUUUCAUGUGAAUAGACACGAGGAGCCAUCUUCCUUCUUGUCCCCUUUUUCUGACAUUUCAGGACUUUUUUUUUAUGAUCUCCAGCUUCAUAACAUACUCUUGCAAACUGCUAGGAGGGAUGACUAAAACUACCCACCAGGAAGUUUUGCAAAGUCCAAG
Molecule: long non-coding RNA, 1721 nt
Filed under: Sus scrofa (pig)
Lineage: Eukaryota; Metazoa; Chordata; Mammalia; Artiodactyla; Suidae
Description: lncRNA (ENSSSCG00015006013.1)
Source: RNAcentral